Molecule: long non-coding RNA, 115 nt
Organism: Gavialis gangeticus (Gharial)
Lineage: Eukaryota; Metazoa; Chordata; Crocodylia; Gavialidae
Exons: 3
Source: RefSeq, a predicted model, not a curated record
CACAUACACUCUCCAGAUGCUUUCCUCUUGUGAACAGCCUUAUUCCUCAAUUAGGUUAGAUUAGAAUUUAGCACUGGGUAUUCAGUGCAUAGACUUUGCACUUCAGGUCUACACA